Non-coding RNA from Musa acuminata subsp. malaccensis (wild Malaysian banana), 3301 nucleotides. The record is from RefSeq and is a predicted model, not a curated record. Lineage: Eukaryota; Viridiplantae; Streptophyta; Magnoliopsida; Zingiberales; Musaceae.
CCUGGAUCAACCCGCAGUCCGAACGGGUAAUUAGGGUUCUUCGUGCAAGAAGAUGAGUUCGAUUCCGCGGUCGUGAUAUGAAGGGCAAUCAAAGCAUAUAUCGGUCCGAUCCGACCGUUAGUUGUAUAGCCAUGAUGCUGCAAGUCCCGAUUUUUGUUGCUUGGAUGCGAUUCUCGUAAUGGACCGUCUUGAAGUUCUCGGAGUCACUGCUUGAUUGGUAAUCUGAUAUGGAAUUGUUGUAUGGACCUCCUUUUGAUCAAUCAUCAAUGUGGGGCUCAUCGACAUCUCAUCCACUUUGGUUGCCUUUCUCCUUUGAUGAUGGAUGGUUCUUUCUUUUGCAAAUGGUAACCGGUGAAGAUGGGAUUCGAACUUUACUAUCGGCAUCUUCCUCAACCUUUGGUAAGUAGACUUGAGUACACAACCACUAUACCAAUGUUCUAGGUGUUCUUAUGUUCAUUUCAUAUUAAUGGUGUUAUUACUUUACCAAGAAGGCUUAUGACUUAAACGUGGAUCUAAGAGCAAUAAUCAUUACUUAAUUUGUACUGAAUCCAUACACAAUAACCAUCAGAUUUGGGUUGGAUAUUGGAUUUGAAUAUUUGUUCAUCUAUUUUAAUAUUUGAAUAUUUUUAUGCAAGUGUUGAUAAUAUUCAUAUAAGAUAGUGAACAUUAUUAUGCAAUUAUUUAUAUGUGUAGUUCCUUAAAAUUUUCCAACCUUGUUAUUUAUAUGUCAUAUCAUUCAUCAUUUAAGGAAGAAUUACCAGCUCACUAAAUACACAUGAUUUAUGUUUCCAUCGAAGAAGUCGGUCAUUACUCCAUUCAGUGUUCAUUCACAAGUUUUAUAAUCGUUAUUUUCAAAUGCCUAUUUUUUUUUUACUUUGGCAAAUGCCUUUUUCUAAGCCAACUAACCUCCUAUGACGUACUCAAAUUACCUUGCCUGCAUCCUUCCACAAUUAUAGCUAAAUAGGAUACAGUAUCAUCAUCUACUUUUUUAUUAUAUUUGUGGGUGUUUGACUGGGUACUUGACAAAGUGGGUGUAGAAAGCAUUAUUCAUUCAGUGGCUCACUCUUUUUUUUUUUUUUCUUUUCCAUUUGGUUGUUGGCUGUGGGAGGUGGGACUUGGGUGCUUGAUGGGUGGGUAGGGUGUGAAACAAGAUUCCGAGAGAGCCCAAGAUGCAUGAAUUGCCACUAUCCUCUGCUUUCAGUGAUGCUCAAGACAUACGUGGCCUUGAGAAUAAUCAGUAAUAUCUGAUGAUUCUUUUAGAAAGCUUGGUAAGAUAGCAACUAUAAAGUUAACUUCUGGAUGCUCAAGGCAUACAUGGCCUCGAGAAGAAUCAGAAAUAUCUGAUGAUUCUUUUAGAAAGCUUGGUAAGAUAGCAACUAUAAAGCUAAUUUCUGGAUGUCACAAUGAUUAGUUUGUCAUGUAUGAUGCAUGAAUAUGUUGAUAAGGAUGAUUUGUGGGACACAGUGCAUCUGUACAAGUAGAUUGUGACGUUUGUUGACCAUCGAGUAUAAAAUAAAUCAAAUUUGCUUCGAAAAAGAGUAUGCUAUACUUGUGGAUCGGAAUUUACCUUCUGCUUGAAGAGACUUGAGAUCAGAAACUGGAUAAGUUCAUAUCGAGUCAGCUCUGUUUUACUUUUGCCCAUGUGCAACCUAUCUCAGAUUUUUAAAUGUUAAUGUCAUCUUUCUGUCAGUGAGAAGAUACCUAGUGAGUUUAUUUUAAUAUAUUUGCUUUCUGAUAUAGGGUCUCGUGAUGGUUGACUAGAAUAUUGACUAGUUAAAGAGUGAAGGCAAAUUAAAGAAGUACAAAGCAAACUUAUUCACUAAAACAUUGUGGUUAUGAUGUCAUAUUAGCCUCAUGACUGAUAAAAGAUAUAUCUCGUUCUUUAUCUUGGAAGACAUUGAUGUUAUAUUUCAUGACUUUAUCUAGUGUAGAGUUUAGAAAAUUUCACCAUAUUAUCUUUUUCAUUAUUUAGACAUUGAUAUUCUAUUGAAUUUUGAAAAAUGUGUUCAAGAAAAUGUAUCCCAACAUUUUCCAAAUUGUAAGUUUAUUGUUCAUCAAGCAUUAGGAUUUUUUUGAUUGUUGAAUCUUUGAUUUCGAUGGAGUUCUGCUGUUUAAAACAAAUCUGACAUGUUUCCCCAACAUACUGUGGAUGGAAGUACAUUUUAGUGCGAAAUUGGACUUAAAAACUACUUAUGGUAAGAUUCGUCACUGCAUGUUUUUCUUAUUUAUCAAGUGAAACAACUGAUAUGCAUUAAUAUAUAAAGCAGGGUGCUUCAUUAUAUGUUAGUGGAAGUAUUUAUAACCUUAAAUGCAGCACGAUACAUGUUAACUAUUUUUAUUGUUUUUCUUAAAUGUUUAAAGCGGAAGUUCCUGGAACCAUCUUGAUUUGAUAUCUUGAGGUUUUGGGUCAUUUUUUCUCAAUUGGAUUCAAUACAUGUCCGCGAUCUAUGUAGGCAAAUUGAAACCUCCUACUAGAUCCUACAUUUAGAGUAAGAUAGACAUAAAUUUGUUCCUUCUUGUCUGUAAGCUGAUAAAUGAAUGCAUUUAUUUGUAAUACCAAAUAUUUAAGACAGGCGGUGAUGGCUAAGUAGAUGUGAAUAUUAAUCUUGAAAAUUUGCUAGUUCAGUCAUCUUCACAGGACAGAAAUAUUGUCCUUUUUGUUACUUUUAUCUAACCAACAACUUAUAAAAGAAAAUGAAUUCCAUAUUGCACUUUUAAUGGUUGCUUGUUACUAAUUUUUUAUCAGCAUGUUUGGAGUGCAUUCCAUGAUAUCUGUAGUUUGAAUGUAGGAAGAUUAGAAUGUGUUAUGUGUUGCAUUUGUGUGGUGUUUGUGCCUAGAAUGGAACUGGAUUUCUGUGGAAAAUUUUGCAGGCCCUAAUUUUGCCACCUUGCAACAACUGAGAUCAGGUUUAUCCAAUGCUUGCUGUUGGAAUCAUUUCCAAUCAUUAUUGUUUGAGAAGUUGAGAAUUUUCAAUUUUUCCAACAGUAUCCGUUGCAGAUUUGGCAUCUGAGUAUUUCCGUCCAGGUUAAGAUUCUGUUUUCAACAUUGGACAACGAUGUGUGGCAAGAAUCAUGAUGAUGAGACAAAUUAUGCUUUGCAUCCUGCAACUUUUGCUCCUUUAGCAUAGUAGUGGAUGGGACCAGGCACCCCAAAAACACCAAAACUGAAAACCAUUUGAGAGAGCUGUGGGAAAUGUUACUCCAUCCGACUCAUAUUGGAUAUGGAAUAAAGAUAGCAUAUCAAAAAUGUGUGUUCUCAUUCUCAUCUUUUCUUUUCCAUGUGCUUCAGGAGAUAAGGCAA